RNAcentral lists this ribosomal RNA (253 nucleotides) under uncultured bacterium. RNAcentral's name for it is "partial 16S ribosomal RNA". It matches the Rfam family "Bacterial small subunit ribosomal RNA", at positions 524 to 776 of the family's 1533-position model. The record is from RNAcentral.
UACGUAGGGGGCAAGCGUUGUCCGGAAUUAUUGGGCGUAAAGAGCGUGUAGGCGGUCCGGUAAGUCAGCUGUGAAAGUCAAGGGCUCAACCCUUGAAUGCCGGUUGAUACUGUCGGGCUAGAGUCCGGAAGAGGCGAGUGGAAUUCCCGGUGUAGCGGUGAAAUGCGCAGAUAUCGGGAGGAACACCAAUGGCGAAGGCAGCUCGCUGGGACGGUACUGACGCUGAGACGCGAAAGCGUGGGGAGCAAACGGG